GUAGGUGGCAAGCGUUGUCCGGAAUUAUUGGGGCGUAAAGCGCGCGCAGGUGGUUCUUUAAGUCUGAUGUGAAAGCCCCCCGGGCUCAACCGGGGGAGGGUCAUUGGAAACUGGGGAACUUGAGUGCAGGAGAGGAAAGUGGAAUUCCACGUGUAGCGGUGAAAUGCGUAGAUAUGUGGAGGAACACCAGUGGCGAAGGCGACUUUCUGGCCUGUAACUGACACUGAGGCGCGAAAGCGUGGGGAGCAAACAGGAUUAGAUACCCUGGUAGUCCACGCCGUAAACGAUGAGUGCUAAGUGUUGGGGGGUUUCCGCCCCUCAGUGCUGCAGCUAACGCAUCAAGCACUCCGCCUGGGGAGUACGGUCGCAAAGACUG
RNAcentral lists this ribosomal RNA (376 nucleotides) under uncultured organism. Its description in RNAcentral is "partial 16S ribosomal RNA". It matches the Rfam family "Bacterial small subunit ribosomal RNA", at positions 527 to 896 of the family's 1533-position model. The record is from RNAcentral.